UUCACCUCAUGACCCGAGCCAGAGUUCAUCCUGGACGAUCCUCAGCCUGAACUAGAAUGAUGCUAUGUAAUAUUAGUCAUUUAUUUAGUGCUUUUUAUCAAGGUCAGUUACUGAUAUCACAUCUGAUGAGUCUUAUGCCAUAUUUGAAUAUGUUUGAAUGUGAAUGAGAUUUUUAAACUGCAGCAGAGAGGAAGCAUUUCAGGAGCUCAGCAACAUGACUGUUCCUGUUCAUUUUUGUUGUAUGGAUUAGAAAAGUGUGAACGGUCAUGAAAAUGAUCCAUAGAAGAAAGAAAAUCAGAGAUUUGGAAUGACAUGAUAAUUGCAACACAUGCCAAAUGUGUAGCUUCAUCACAUCAAAACACUGGGAAGGAGUGAUUAGGAAUGAUUUUGGGUCUUUCCAGCAACCACCCAUUGCCGUCUUCCACCGAUGACCCAGCGAGGGGCCAGACACGAGAUGAUUGUUUGUGGCAUUGAUGUAACGUCUAGAACAGCUUCAGUCUGUAAUUAUCUGAAGUGCUCGUGAAGGAGACAGACAUGGUGAAGAUGAAUAUUCCCCGAGCAUGUGGCACGAAUCUGAUGUACGGUCGUCUCUACGCCCACCUGGUGAAGCUGUAUCAACCCUAAAAGCAUUCAGAAAUUUUCAUCACUGAAGGUCGUACAGUGAAUCAUCUCAGUUUUGGUUCAGUUUCUCCACCCUGAGCAUUAAACAACAGCAGUGUUUAUGUGGUGAACUCCUGCGUGUCAUGUUGCAUCAAAUAUUCUAGUCUGUUGUAGUACUCAGAUAUAUAGUUGCAGGACCAAUACUUAUUUAUACUGUAAUUUUACUGAGCUUAUGUCUUGUCUUUACUUUCAUUGCAGGUCUCGGGUUUCACGUGGUGGUGGUGGUUAGUAAUAGAGAUGCAUACUAGACACUGGGUUAUGAGAUGUAUGCUUUGUUCUAAAGCCUUAUAAUAGAUACACAAAGGCUAUUUCAAAAGCUCACUACUCCAUUUGUCACUGGUAGAGUUGAGAUGGACUGCCGCCCCAGAGUUCAUCCAGGAUCCUGUUAUCAGUGACGUCCUGAUGGAUCAGUGGAUUGUGUCUGGUCUUCACCGAUGACUGUAGGAAUGUGUCUGAUGAAGAACAGGAGUGAUGCUGCACAGACGGACAGAGGCAGUGUUGCUGUCUGAUGAGUGUGAAAAUGAUUUCUGUGGACAGAUCAUAAAUCCAACAUCACAAAACAUUCAGAGGUCAACCAGCCUAGAAGAACAAUCCUCAAUGAAAAAGACAAAUAGAUUUCUUUAAUAUUUCCUCCAGAGUUUUAAAAGUGAAGUCUCACAUUAUGCCCAGAAUUGAGCUGCAAUCAAAAAUAGAGAUGUUGAUCUAAACACAAUGAUUUCUCAUCAAAUUCCUCAAGAUAAAAUGAUCUGAGCUGCUCCACAUUCACUUUAUAUCUCUGUAAUCUUACUGUAUGACAACUGUUGACUCACUUCUGUCUUUUAGUUUGGGGAUUUUAGGAGUUGAUUAUUAAAUUACACAUCAAAUUACAAAACCUAAAUAAGAUGAAACACAAUAACUCAAUAAUCAGUGGU
Molecule: long non-coding RNA, 1571 nt
Organism: Ctenopharyngodon idella (grass carp)
Lineage: Eukaryota; Metazoa; Chordata; Actinopteri; Cypriniformes; Xenocyprididae
Exons: 6
Source: RefSeq, a predicted model, not a curated record